GACGAACGCUGGCGGCGUGCCUAAUACAUGCAAGUAGAACGCUGAAGGAGGAGCUUGCUUCUCUGGAUGAGUUGCGAACGGGUGAGUAACGCGUAGGUAACCUGCCUGGUAGCGGGGGAUAACUAUUGGAAACGAUAGCUAAUACCGCAUAAUAGUAGAUGUUGCAUGACAUUUGCUUAAAAGGUGCAAUUGCAUCACUACCAGAUGGACCUGCGUUGUAUUAGCUAGUUGGUGGGGUAACGGCUCACCAAGGCGACGAUACAUAGCCGACCUGAGAGGGGGAUCGGCCACACUGGGACUGAGACACGGCCCAGACUCCUACGGGAGGCAGCAGUAGGGAAUCUUCGGCAAUGGACGGAAGUCUGACCGAGCAACGCCGCGUGAGUGAAGAAGGUUUUCGGAUCGUAAAGCUCUGUUGUAAGAGAAGAACGAGUGUGAGAGUGGAAAGUUCGCACUGUGACGGUAUCUUACCAGAAAGGGACGGCUAACUACGUG
Molecule: ribosomal RNA, 495 nt
Filed under: uncultured bacterium
Lineage: Bacteria
Description: partial 16S ribosomal RNA
Rfam family: Bacterial small subunit ribosomal RNA
Source: RNAcentral